AUGUACAUUCCUACAAAAUAGCGUUAAUGCACUGGAUCCCAUUAGAACUCCAGAGUUAAGCAUGCUCAGGCUAGAGUAGUACUGGGAUGGGUGACUACCUGGGAAGUCCUAGUGUUUUACAUG
This is a non-coding RNA of Picea glauca (white spruce), 123 nucleotides long. The record is from Rfam. Lineage: Eukaryota; Viridiplantae; Streptophyta; Pinopsida; Pinales; Pinaceae.